UAACUCAGUGGUAGAGUGCUUGUCUAGCAUGCAUGAAGCAUUGAGUUCAAUUCUCAG
RNAcentral lists this transfer RNA (57 nucleotides) under Urocitellus parryii (Arctic ground squirrel). RNAcentral's name for it is "Spermophilus parryii (Arctic ground squirrel) tRNA". It matches the Rfam family "tRNA", at positions 8 to 63 of the family's 71-position model. From Rfam's summary of the family: Transfer RNA (tRNA) molecules are approximately 80 nucleotides in length. Their secondary structure includes four short double-helical elements and three loops (D, anti-codon, and T loops). The record is from Rfam by way of RNAcentral. Lineage: Eukaryota; Metazoa; Chordata; Mammalia; Rodentia; Sciuridae. RNAcentral also lists the same sequence under 1 other name.